This is a non-coding RNA of Pantoea sp. At-9b, 129 nucleotides long. The record is from Rfam. Lineage: Bacteria; Pseudomonadati; Pseudomonadota; Gammaproteobacteria; Enterobacterales; Erwiniaceae.
CUUUAACAAUCCGGAACAAGCUGAAAAUUUGAAACGACACGUUGUUUCAUUUCUCCGUAAUAAGAAAUGAAAGCGAUGUGUUCGAGUCUCUCAAAUGCUUGCAGUCUGCAUGCGUGAAAACGUCUGUGG